GGAUGCGAUCAUACCAGCACUAAAGCACCAGAUCCCAUCAGAACUCCGAAGUUAAGCGUGCUUGGGCGAGAGUAGUACUAGGAUGGGUGACCUCCUGGGAAGUCCUCGUGUUGCAUCCCC
Molecule: ribosomal RNA, 120 nt
Filed under: Epimedium koreanum
Lineage: Eukaryota; Viridiplantae; Streptophyta; Magnoliopsida; Ranunculales; Berberidaceae
Source: RNAcentral